AAUGACUCCUAAUGGCAUUACUAUUCCAGAGCUCACCUCUCCUUAGAAAGGUUCGUCUUGCAGUAUGUGGUGAUCAGCAAAGUCUCCUGACUGGACAGCUGCUCAGACAGAGACUCUGGAGCACUCAGCCCUGAGUGCCUAGACUCUCAGACCCUCCCCUCAAGGCUCAGGACCCCUGUGGCAGCAGAGGUCGGAGGGGUGUAAGGAGAGCAUCAGCAUCCAGACACCGCAGGAUUGGUGCAGAGAUUGACGCACACUUGGAACCUGCACAGGCUCAAACCAGACGAUUGCUUUUCUAAGCUAACCUAGAAAAAGCAAAAAAAAACUGUUCUUAAAAUACUAUCUGCUAGGGAUGGCUCAGGUGGUAAUGUGCUUGGUUAUGAAACCAUGAGGACCUGAGUUUGACCUCUAGCAUUCAUAUAAGAAAACUGGGCAUGGCAGCAUGACUACAGAAUCUCAGCUUUGGGGACAUGGGGAUAGCAGAGUCCUUGGGGCGUGUGGGCCAGCCACUCUUGCUGAAUUGACUAGCUCCAGCUUCCUUGGAAGACCCUGACUCAAUCAAUUGUACCUUCUGGAUUCUACAGACAUGACACAAGUACCCAUGUACACAUAUAUUCACACUCAUAGAUAUGAUCCUUUUAGAAAUGUUUGCAUAUGUGACAUGACACAAGUACCUGUGUACACAUAUAUUCACACUCAGAUACAAUCCUUUUAGAAAUGUUUGCAUGUGUAAAACUAUUCUCAUUCCCAGUAGAACCCAUUUCUUCAUCUUCAAUUUUUUUUUCGUCUUUAUCUUAAAUUCAAAGGGAAUAUGCCUAAGUGUAAUUGUAGUAGGAUUACUGUGAUAGCUAUUUUCUGUUAUAUUUCCUUACAAGAUAAAAAUCUGUUGGAGGGGGCUAGGUGGUGCAGUGGUUAAGACCUCGGCUCUUCAACAGGACCCAAGUUUGGUUGGUUCCCAGCACACACCUCAGGUGGCUUCUAACUGCAAUCUUUCUGGCUUCUGUGCUCACAGACACUCAAAUGCACAUGCCUACAAACAGACACAUAAUGAAAAACAAAAGCCAAAAACAAAAAAAAAAAACAA
RNAcentral lists this long non-coding RNA (1084 nucleotides) under Rattus norvegicus (Norway rat). Its description in RNAcentral is "long non-coding RNA NONRATT013460". Lineage: Eukaryota; Metazoa; Chordata; Mammalia; Rodentia; Muridae. The record is from RNAcentral.